Long non-coding RNA from Biomphalaria glabrata, 6212 nucleotides. RefSeq lists it as uncharacterized. The record is from RefSeq and is a predicted model, not a curated record. NCBI's taxonomy places the organism in Eukaryota, Metazoa, Mollusca, Gastropoda, Planorbidae. The transcript is spliced from 2 exons.
UUGUCUGUCUUUCAUUAUGUCUAUCUAAAAAAUAAUUGUUUUUGUUUGUAAUGUUGUUACAGUGCCUUGAGCUUACAUUUUGUUUGUUAACAGCGCUUUAUAAAUAAAAUUAUUAUUAUUAUUGUUAUUAUUAUGUAAUGCCUAGGAUUCUUCAGUUGUAAUACCUAGGAUUCUUCUGUAGCAUCUCAAUUCCAUUGCUAGGAUCCUCCUCUCUAGCUCUGCAGUCAGCGUCCAAGACUCACAAGCAUAUAAAAAUGUGGCCAUGACCAGAGAGCGCAUCAGUCUGAUUUUGGUGCCUAGGGCUAUUCCAUAUUAUUUUAAGUUUUGAAAGGGCUGCUGUGGACUGUCAGUAGUUCAGGUUUUGUUCCCUUAUCUGAGACAAUAGCUCCUAGGUAUUUGAAGUGGGCCAAAAUGCUCUUUUGAAUUUAAUAAAGACAAGCUGCAGGUUUAAUUAUUGUUAACUGCAUUUGUCGACUGGUUGUCAGUAAAACCAAGACUUGGUAGAAUUUAAGAUUCUAUUUAUAUUGUUACAUGGUGCAGCUUUAGUGAAAUCCAGCUAGUCUGUAGAACUGGCAUGUCAAACAUUGUCCAUAUAUUUUUGUAAUUAUAUAUAUAUAUUUCUAUAUAUAUGGUAUAUUUCUCUUCUUAUAAGAUUUCUAGAGCUUGAUAUAUUCAGUAGUGUCCAAACUAGUUUAGCGUGAAUUCCCCUAUCCAUCCAUCCAUCCCAGUGGUGCUACAGCCCAUGGAGGGCUCUGGCCUGCUUUAACAUAUCCUUCCAUUCAGAUAUCCUGGGCCUUUCGUCUCCACGCCCUAGCCCCAAGCUGCUUCAGAUCUGCUUCCACAUCAUCUAUCCAUCGCAUUCGGUGUCUGCCUUUGGGUCGCCUGCCUUUUGGUUUUUGCCUGUAUACAAUUUUCACCCCUCUGUUGUCUGACAUUCUUUCAAGGUGACCUGCCCAACGUAGUCUGUUCUUUUUUAUUUCGUUCACUUUUGGUGGGUCUUCAUACAAUUGAUAUAUCUCAUGGUUAGUGCGUGUCCUCCACCCUGUUUCAUCCUGUAUGGCACCAUAGAUUUUCCUAAGAAUUUUUCUUUCCCAAGUGUUAAGUAAAAGCACAAACUAUUCAACAAAAUUUGGUUAACAGAAACACCUCCGGGUGAGUGGAAAAAGGGCUUGCUAAUAAAAAUACCAAAGAGUGGAGAUCUAUCACAAUGUGAGAAAUGGCGAGGCAUCACUUUGCUGUCAGUACCAAGCAAGAUUUUUAGCAGAAUCCUACUAAACAGAAUAAGGGAGCAUGUGAUGAACACCUAAGGGAAGAACAGGCCGGAUUCAGAAAAGGGAGAUCUUGUGCUGACCAAAUAGCUACACUCAGGAUAAUUGUAGAACAAUGUGUCGAAUGGCAAUCUCCUCUCUAUGCAACUUUUGUCGACUUUGAAAAAGCUUUUGAUAGUGUCGACAGAGAAUCUAUUUGGACUGUAAUGAGACAUUAUGGGAUCCCCAAUAAAAUAAUAACCAUAAUCAAGAACCUUUAUGAUGGUUUCACCUGCCAAGUAACCCACUGUGGCAAGCUGUCAGAGGAAUUUCCAGUCACAACAGGAGUCAAACAGGGAUGUCUUCUUUCACCACUCCUGUUCCUUCUAGUACUGGAUUGGGUCACAAAAGAAGCCUACUCUAACGCAGGGAAAGGAAUCCAAUGGACUCUCACACAAAAGCUGGAAGAUCUGGAAUUCGCUGAUGACAUAGCCCUAUUAUCACACAGACUACAGGAUAUGCAAGAAAAGGUCAUAGCUUUAAGCUAAGUAGGAAAAAGAGUAGGCCUCAAAAUAAACCACCAAAAAACUAAAGUACUUAAAGUAAACAAUAACAAAUUGGAGACAUAGUAUUGGAUUCUCAGACAAUAGACCAAGUAGAAAAUUUUAUAUACCUUGGGAGUGUAGUCAGUAUAUCAGGUGGAACAGAUGAAGACAUUAAUCUAGCAUGUCAGACAUUUACACAGCUAAAACCAACCUGGAAAUCUCCUUACAUCUCAAACAAGACUAAACUAAGAAUCUUUAACUCUAAUGUCAAGGCUGUCCUACUGUAUGGUUCUGAAACAUGGAGAACAACUGAAGCCACAACAAAAAAAUACAGACCUUCAUCAACAGAUGCCUGAGAAAUAUCCUAAAAAUACACUGGUAUGACAAAGUAGAAAACACCAAACUGUGGGAGAUGAGUGGACAGAAAAAUAUAGAAGUGCAGAUCUUAGAGAGGAAGUGGAGAUGGAUUGGUCACACCCUUAGAAAAGAUACCAGCAACAGAGCUAGGCAGGCCUUAGAGUGGAACCCCCAGGGAACAAGACGCAGAGGAAGACCAAAAAGAACAUGGCGACGCAGUGUACUUGAAGAAGCAGAGAAGACCGGGAAGAGCUGGGACACCAUAAAAAAGCUAGCAAGAGACCGUGGAGAGUGGCGUGUUUUGGUCGAGGCCCUAUGUUCCAUGAGGAACUCAAAGGAGUGAUGAUGAUGAAGUGUUAAGUAAAUUUUCAGAUGUCUUUGUCAGUGUCCAGGACUCACUUCCAUACAUUGCUGCUGGUCUUAUUAUAGUUUUGUAUAUUAUUUUCUUGGUUUUCCUUGAAAUCGUUUUGCUCUUAAGUAAAUGGUGGGUGCUAUAAAAUGCCCUGUUGCCUCCUGCUAUUCUUUCCUUUAUUUCUGUUAGUAGGUCAUUUUUGAAAUUAAUAGUACUUCCUAGAUAUUUGAAAGUUUGGACGUUUUCAAAUUCGUGGUGUUUGAUUUUGAUAUUUUGUCCCUCUGUUUGAUUGUCUCUUGUCAUUGUAAUGUACUUGGUUUUACUGUCAUUGACCUCAAGUCCUGCUGGUCGAGAUGCUUCUUCUAGUUGUAUGAAGGCUCUAGCCAUGUCAGAGGUUUCUUUACCCAAUAAGGCAAUGUCAUCGGCAUAAGCAAGGUAUUGUAGAAAUUGUUGGUUGUGGACCCGUGUUUUCUCUCCUGAAGUAGUUAGUAAUAGUUCCCCUUGUGUUUAUGUGUAUAUUUCUUAUAACUCUCUCCAGUGUUAAAUUGAAAAGCAUGCAGGAAAGUGCGUCUCCUUGUCUUAAUCCUUGUUUAAUCCUAAAUUCCCGUGAGUCUUCUCCUUGUAUUAUGACUGCUUUUUGAGUUGUUUAAUGUCAUAUGUAUAAGUCUUGUCAGCUUGUUGGGUAUUCCAAAAUCCUGUAGAGUGUCUUAUAGGUAUUUCCUUCUGAUACUGUCAUAAGUCAUUUUAUAGUCUAUAAAGAGUUGGUGGAUUGGUAUGUUGUAUUCAUGGCAUUUUUCUAGUAUACAUCUUAGUGUGAAGAUGUGGUCGGUUGUGGAUUUGUUGGGUCUGAAACCACAUUGGUAGUCACCUAAGAUUUCUUCUGAAUAUUUUCCAAGUCUCUUAGUUAUAAGCCUAGACAGUAUCUUAUAAGUCACAUUUAGUAGAGAGAUUCCUCUGUAAUUACAGCACUUUAACUUGGAAUCUGUUAGACACCUUAUUUAUAUAGGUUAGUUAUUUUAGUUAUUUAGCGACGCACCAUAGUAGACGCAUAUUGAACGGGACUAGUGACGUUUGGGAUAUGUUGGGUUAGAGACCGGAAAAUCAGUUAGCGUUAGAACACUCCAGGGUAACGACGUGUUUAGUGACAGAGACUUCUACUGUGGCCUUUUAUCAUAAUAAAUAUAUAUUAACUUGUUCAUCAUCGUUGACUACAUCUCUUCACCUGUUACAAUCGAUGUGCCAGUUCUUGUUUGUGUUGUUGGUCAACUACACGUAAUACACCCGGACAAUUACACCCAAACGAUUGCAGAGUAAUUGGUUGACUUCAAGACAGCCUGAACUAGCAACAUCACAGUGGCGACCCCGAACCUCGAAGCCGGACCCUGAUGAAGACGAACAUCGAACCGGACCUCGAAGCAGAACGUUUACUCAGGUGAGGGUCGUGCACUCGAAGUUAUAAGAUUUCAUCGGAGUACGGCUGAACACAGCAGCAUCACAGAGUGACUUUGUUCUAGAUCUACAUACAGUCAUCGCCUGUUUGAUCGCACGUUCGACGAGCCGUUAACUCAGGGUGACCUUCGUCAGGACAGUAAUCAUCGUAACGUCUGGUCUACUUAACCAGUAUAUUAUCAAAGCCUGAUCUUCAUAUGCUGAAUCGACCUACAACCAGAGAAACCGUUCAUUCAUAACGGGUGAGAGAUCGCUAGUGAACCUGUUGGACAUAUUUUUUCUUCGUCAUAGGAGCCACAUCGAGUAUCAAGUUUUACCUCGUCAGUUUCGAGAAGGACAGUUUGCCCGCUGUCAGAAGUAUUGUGAGUACUACAAGUUUGGUAGCUAACUAAAUCGAAAUCGCUCUGUCGUCUUACCCUUGGAGAGAUUCUUGUGGAGCAGUUUGCUCAUUGAACCGGUUGCUUGCCACGUUUAUAACGGUCACUGUGUUUAACCUUUGGAAGGUUAGUGAAGUAAUCUUUAUCAUUACUGAACAUUGAUAUAUCUAGUAUUCGUCGGUCUAGACCAUACCUAGACUUGUUAGCAGUGAAGUUGUGGAAACAGCUACAUCCACUUAAUUUCGUUGAAAACCGUUAAUCGUCUAACGGAACGUCGUCGGAGGUGACCUUGGUUUCACCUAGUCUACAUUGGACAGUUUGGUCUAUUGAAGCAGAGUACAACAGCAAACUUCGUCGUACUACCAGAGUAGCAGCAGAAGCAGUGAACUAUUUUAGAAAGCCGUUAUUCGUCAGCCCAGAUCAAGUCAUCGUCAAGAAAGUCGUUAUUCGUCAGCCCAGAUCAAGUCAUCGUCAAGAAAUUCGUUAUUCGUCAGUCGUCCAGAUCAAGUUGCCGUCAAGAGACUGUUAUUUGUCAGUAGUCGUCUACACAAGUCAAGUCAUCGCCAGAAGAACCGUUAACCUAUUCGUCAGUAACUGUGUACACAAAGUCGUCGGAACUACACAUACGGUCAUCAACAGUCACCGAAGGAACCGAAACAUUUUGCUGUGGCAUAUCAGGACAUCUGUGGCAUUACGUGGGAUACUGGUAGCACCGGAGAACAGAGUCAGAACUGGAAGAGAGGCAGUGGAAUUUGUUGUGAUCUAGCAUAUUCGGGAGUCCGAACAAAGGGAUCUUUCUUAUCAAAAGCUAAGUGCCAUUUUUCUUAUUAGUAUAUGUUUAGAUUGCCCUUAGAAAUAGAUUUUGUCUAAAUUUGGUACGUUAGCCUGAGUAAAAUCAGGUGGUGCGCCUUAAAACCCGUCGGGGUAGAAGACGUAAUUUAGAUGAAAAGCUAUAUUAUACGUUUAGGAUUGUAAUUUGUUUUGUUUGUGUAAACGUCAUAUCCGUUGUUGCCUGGUUACUUCGUGACGUUAUCAUUGUGUGCCAUAUUGUCAUAUCCCAACCCAUAGCGAUAGUCUCAUUUUAAUUAUUUCAUUUGUUUAUAUUAUUUUAAAUUAUUUAUUUUUAUUAAUUUAAUUAGAUCUGUAUUUUUUUUUCACUUAAUGAUAGAAAGUGCGGGUAGGAUUCUUUCAUUGUGAAUCAGACUAAAAUAAUUUUAGUUUGAGCGGUUAAAAUCAAUUAUGAUUUUGCCAUGAGAAUAAUGCCGAAACUGGCUAUGUAGUCAAACACUAUCGUCUGGCUAAAUUUAGAUCUGCAAAUUGUUGUACAUCUCUUUGGUACAAUUUAAUUAUCUAGACUCUACUUUGAAAUAUUAUUAAGUUGAAGAUGAAUGAAGAUUACUGCCAGUGAAGAACAUUUGUGACGUGUGACGUGCCCAUAUGAUGCCACAUUUUCCUCCAUGAUGAACUGUGUACUAAUGAAGAUGAUUUUGGAAUGUUAUGAACUGUUAUGAACAUUGACGUGAAUAUGAGGAACUGUCAAGAUGAAGAUGUCAAGAUGAAGAUGUCAAGAUUUUAUGUUUGUGGUCUUCCCCUUAAAUUGAAAAUGCCCUUGUAAGACUUGACAGUAGUGGAAAAAUAUUGACAUAUUUUUUUUUCAAGGGGGGGAGGAAUCUGUUAGACACCUUAUUUAUAUAGGUUAGUUAUUUUAGUUAUUUAGCGACGCACCAUAGUAGACGCAUAUUGAACGGGACUAGUGACGUUUGGGAUAUGUUGGGUUAGAGACCGGAAAAUCAGUUAGCGUUAGAACACUCCAGGGUAACGACGUGUUUAGUGACAGAGACUUCUACUGUGGCCUUUUAUCAUAAUAAAUAUAUAUUAACUUGUU